This 485-nucleotide ribosomal RNA is filed under the name Salinicoccus roseus. RNAcentral describes it as "bacterial SSU rRNA". It matches the Rfam family "Bacterial small subunit ribosomal RNA", at positions 966 to 1460 of the family's 1533-position model. The record is from RNAcentral. Lineage: Bacteria; Bacillati; Bacillota; Bacilli; Caryophanales; Staphylococcaceae.
ACAAAAUUUUGACAUCUUGUGACCACCCUGGAGACAGGGUUUCCCUUCGGGGCAGAGUGACAGGUGGUGCAUGGUUGUCGUCAGCUCGUGUCGUGAGAUGUUGGGUUAAGUCCCGCAACGAGCGCAACCCUUAUCACUAGUUGCCAGCAUUCAGUUGGGCACUCUAGUGAGACUGCCGGUGACAAACCGGAGGAAGGUGGGGAUGACGUCAAAUCAUCAUGCCCCUUAUGAUUUGGGCUACACACGUGCUACAAUGGACAGGAACAAAGGGCAGCUACGCCGCGAGGCCAAGCGAAUCCCAUAAAACUGUUCUCAGUUCGGAUUGGAGUCUGCAACUCGACUCCAUGAAGCUGGAAUCGCUAGUAAUCGUGGAUCAGAAUGCCACGGUGAAUACGUUCCCGGGUCUUGUACACACCGCCCGUCACACCACGAAAGUCGGUAACACCUGAAGCCGGUGGGCCAACCUCUUGGAGGCAGCCGUCGAA